CAGGUCUUGACAUCCCAUUGACCACUGUAGAGAUACAGUUUUCCCUUCGGGGACAACGGUGACAGGUGGUGCAUGGUUGUCGUCAGCUCGUGUCGUGAGAUGUUGGGUUAAGUCCCGCAACGAGCGCAACCCUUGUUCUUAGUUGCCAUCAUUUAGUUGGGCACUCUAAGGAGACUGCCGGUGACAAACCGGAGGAAGGUGGGGAUGACGUCAAAUCAUCAUGCCCCUUAUGACCUGGGCUACACACGUGCUACAAUGGACGGUACAAACGGUUGCCAACCCGCGAGGGGGAGCUAAUCCGAUAAAACCGUUCUCAGUUCGGAUUGUAGGCUGCAACUCGCCUACAUGAAGCCGGAAUCGCUAGUAAUCGUGGAUCAGCAUGCCACGGUGAAUACGUUCCC
This 401-nucleotide ribosomal RNA is filed under the name uncultured soil bacterium. Its description in RNAcentral is "bacterial SSU rRNA". It matches the Rfam family "Bacterial small subunit ribosomal RNA", at positions 975 to 1375 of the family's 1533-position model. The record is from RNAcentral.